UUAAAAUUAUGAAAUCUACAUUAAUUCGGUAAAAAUAUGUUUUAAUGGUACAUUGUGAUUAUGGCGAUAGUAUGUACAUACUGAUACAUGUAUAUAGCAUAUGAAGUCUGAGUGUCCAAAUGCAUUAUUCAUAUAUGUCAAUUAAUAUACAUAUUUAUUUAUGAAAUUCUGCGCAUAGAAGUUAUUUUUCAUUUCUUUACAUCUCAUAGUGAGUUUGAAUAACUAUUUACAGAAAAUGCAAAGAGAGAUGCAGAUCUUUAAAGUGAUAUGUUCAACGACAAAUAUUGUAAGCUCAUUUCAGAGCUUAGCAAAAUAUGUUUAUGCGCUUUUUUCUUCCAUUUUUAGGAUAAGUUUCAGUUGAGAAACUGGCCAGCGAUGUGUGUUGUAACUUACAUUCAAACUACAUUGUACAGGAACUUUUUCCUUUUUAUAUUUAUGUUUUUGUCAUAUAGGUUAUAUGAAGAAAUUGUAUCUAUGAAUGAUGAAAUCAAAAAGUAACUCUUUGUUCAUAGUACACACAAACCAAGACUGUAAUAGAAAUCAGGAAAUUUUAAUGGUCCUAUACCUAUAAUGCUGAAAAUUAAUCUUCUAUCUGUUCUAAUUAACCACCUGUCAUAAAAACUCUAACUUUUGCAUUUUAUACAAUGGUGAGU
Nylanderia fulva is the source of this 653-nucleotide non-coding RNA. Lineage: Eukaryota; Metazoa; Arthropoda; Insecta; Hymenoptera; Formicidae. The record is from RefSeq and is a predicted model, not a curated record.